RNAcentral lists this ribosomal RNA (607 nucleotides) under Limimaricola soesokkakensis. Its description in RNAcentral is "bacterial SSU rRNA". It matches the Rfam family "Bacterial small subunit ribosomal RNA", at positions 61 to 715 of the family's 1533-position model. The record is from RNAcentral. Lineage: Bacteria; Pseudomonadati; Pseudomonadota; Alphaproteobacteria; Rhodobacterales; Paracoccaceae.
GUCGAGCGAGGUCUUCGGGCCUAGCGGCGGACGGGUUAGUAACGCGUGGGAACGUGCCCUUCACUACGGAAUAGUCCCGGGAAACUGGGUUUAAUACCGUAUACGCCCUUCGGGGGAAAGAAUUUCGGUGAAGGAUCGGCCCGCGUCUGAUUAGGUAGUUGGUGGGGUAAUGGCCUACCAAGCCUACGAUCAGUAGCUGGUUUUAGAGGAUGAUCAGCAACACUGGGACUGAGACACGGCCCAGACUCCUACGGGAGGCAGCAGUGGGGAAUCUUAUACAAUGGGCGCAAGCCUGAUCUAGCCAUGCCGCGUGAGUGAUGAAGGCCUUAGGGUCGUAAAGCUCUUUCGCUGGGGAAGAUAAUGACGGUACCCAGUAAAGAAACCCCGGCUAACUCCGUGCCAGCAGCCGCGGUAAUACGGAGGGGGUUAGCGUUGUUCGGAAUUACUGGGCGUAAAGCGCGCGUAGGCGGACUGUUAAGUCGGGGGUGAAAUCCCGGGGCUCAACCCCGGAACGGCCUUCGAUACUGGCAGUCUGGAGUUCGAGAGAGGUGAGUGGAAUUCCGAGUGUAGAGGUGAAAUUCGUAGAUAUUCGGAGGAACACCAGUGG